Molecule: ribosomal RNA, 626 nt
Filed under: uncultured Verrucomicrobiota bacterium
Lineage: Bacteria; Pseudomonadati; Verrucomicrobiota
Description: bacterial SSU rRNA
Rfam family: Bacterial small subunit ribosomal RNA
Source: RNAcentral
UAGCAAUAUUCCGUAGUUGGAGCGGCGCAAGGGUGCGUAACACGUGGGUAAUCUGCCAUGAAGUUUGGGAUAACUCGCUGAAAGGCGAGCUAAUACCGGAUGUGACGAUUGGAAGGCAUCUUCUGAUCUUCAAAGUUGGGGACCGUAAGGCCUGACGCUUCAUGAUGAGCCCGCGGCCUAUCAGCUAGUUGGUGAGGUAACGGCUCACCAAGGCUAAGACGGGUAGCUGGUCUGAGAGGACGACCAGCCACACUGGAACUGAGACACGGUCCAGACACCUACGGGUGGCAGCAGUCGAGAAUUUUUCACAAUGGGGGAAACCCUGAUGGAGCGACGCCGCGUGGGGGAUGAAUGGCUUCGGCCCGUAAACCCCUGUCAUUCGCGAACAAUGCCUGUGUAUUAACACCAUACAGGUUGAUAGUAGCGGAAGAGGAAGGGACGGCUAACUCUGUGCCAGCAGCCGCGGUAAUACAGAGGUCCCAAGCGUUGUUCGGAUUCACUGGGCGUAAAGGGUGCGUAGGCGGUCGGGUAAGUCUGAUGUGAAAUCUCACAGCUUAACUGUGAAACUGCAUUGGAUACUAUUCGGCUUGAGGUCUGGAGGGGGGACUGGAAUUCUCGGUGUAGCA